RNAcentral lists this ribosomal RNA (492 nucleotides) under uncultured bacterium. Its description in RNAcentral is "partial 16S ribosomal RNA". It matches the Rfam family "Bacterial small subunit ribosomal RNA", at positions 29 to 507 of the family's 1533-position model. The record is from RNAcentral.
AGUGAACGCUGGCGGUAGGCCUAACACAUGCAAGUCGAACGGCAGCACAGUAAGCGCUUGCUCUUACUGGUGGCGAGUGGCGGACGGGUGAGGCAUACAUCGGAAUCUACUUUUUCGUGGGGGAUAACGUAGGGAAACUUACGCUAAUACCGCAUACGACCUACGGGUGAAAGCAGGGGAUCUUCGGACCUUGCGCGAUUGAAUGAGCCGAUGUCGGAUUAGCUAGUUGGCGGGGUAAAGGCCCACCAAGGCGACGAUCCGUAGCUGGUCUGAGAGGAUGAUCAGCCACACUGGAACUGAGACACGGUCCAGACUCCUACGGGAGGCAGCAGUGGGGAAUAUUGGACAAUGGGCGAAAGCCUGAUCCAGCCAUACCGCGUGGGUGAAGAAGGCCUUCGGGUUGUAAAGCCCUUUUGUUGGGAAAGAAAAGCAGCAGGUUAAUACCCCGCUGUUCUGACGGUACCCAAAGAAUAAGCACCGGCUAACUUCGUG